UUCAAAUUUAUUUCUUCUCUCACUUUUUAAGAUCGUAAUCAUUCUUUCUCCUACGAAAAAAAUAACAAUUUGUUUCUUCAAUAAUGUAUGUAUUUUUCUUCGAAUUUUAAGGCCCUAAUCAUCCAUUCUUAUACUUGGAAAAAUGAUUGCACAAGCAGAGAUUCAAGCUCGUGAUAUGGGAGAAGCGUGCGGAUGAGGAGAUUUUGACACAUGGUGUGUGGUAAGAGGUGGAAGGUUGGACGUGCGUUUGAGUUUGAGAUAAUUCCAUAAAAUAAAUGGUGCGUCUGGGGCUAAAGUUUGUGACCUGAGGGUGGAUUGCUCCUGAAGGUUUCUUUCAUAAUUUAUCGGCCAAUGAUGAGGCUAUUUAAGUGUCAAGGUGGUUCUAAUAUCUUCUGGCCACUGAAUGGAAAUGAUGCAAAUUUUGUAGGCAAUCGUUUUGAUCUGGAUCUUGGUUCUUUGUAGAAACCUAUGAGUCCAAGAUGAGCAUGGUGAUGAAGUGAAAUGAAAAGUGAACUCAUUUGUAUGCAUGGCGCUGAAGGAAAGUUUAAUUAUCUAAUCGUAAUGAAUUGCACUUUAAUAGUUUAAGACGAUACAAAACAUUUAUUAAUUUUGAAUUCGUGCCCGAGCAACCUUUCUGCGCCUUUGCCAUACUAGCUCGCCUAUCGGAAUCCAAAUACAUAAAGUUAAGCUAUGAUUUAUAUC
This is a long non-coding RNA of Cucumis sativus (cucumber), 702 nucleotides long. RefSeq lists it as uncharacterized. The record is from RefSeq and is a predicted model, not a curated record. The transcript has 3 exons. NCBI's taxonomy places the organism in Eukaryota, Viridiplantae, Streptophyta, Magnoliopsida, Cucurbitales, Cucurbitaceae.